CAAAAAUUAUGUGAAAAAAGAAUAAAUAUAAAAUUACUAUUUUUAACAAUUGGAAAUGUAUGGUCCACUUUUCAUAAAGCGCUUAAAACACUAUGAGAAAAUCUUGUUUAACAAAUACAAUGUAGCUGUAAAAUUUUAUGACAACUUUAUACCAUUUGCUGAGCUUAACAAGGCAGCAAAAUCUAAUGAGUCAUCUCCCUAGUCAUGAUAGGGACACAUUUAAAAAAAAGGAAGAUACACAAAAAAAUGUAUGAAUUGGUAUUAAAACUUAUUGAUAAAAAAAGAAUAAGGUUUUCAUAAUUAAAAUUGAUUAAAAUUAAUUGCUGAAUAAA
Molecule: long non-coding RNA, 332 nt
Filed under: Mytilus galloprovincialis (Mediterranean mussel)
Lineage: Eukaryota; Metazoa; Mollusca; Bivalvia; Mytilida; Mytilidae
Source: RNAcentral